This is a non-coding RNA of Vicia faba (fava bean), 279 nucleotides long. NCBI's taxonomy places the organism in Eukaryota, Viridiplantae, Streptophyta, Magnoliopsida, Fabales, Fabaceae. The record is from the annotation of a GenBank genome assembly.
AUGGUGAUCAUGAACCGCAUAAACAGCAACAAAGGCUUUAGGGAACAGGGGGAGAAUGUUAUGACUCAAUUAAAUGGCACAAAGAAAGCUUGUGAAAAAGAAGUCCUAAUUUCAUAUCGGACCUCUGGACGCAAUAGGUCUAUAACUCUCCAAUUUAGAAGAGAUAAAGAACAAGAAGAAAGAAGCAAUAGGCCUAUAAGUCUCCAAUUUAGAAGAGAUAAAGAACAAGAAAGAAGAGAAGGAAAACCUGCAUGUCACAUCCUCAACACUAUAAUUUAA